ACGCUCGACACCUACGGGAGGCCGCAGUGGGGAAUAUUGCACAAUGGGGGAAACCCUGAUGCAGCGAUGCCGCGUGAAGGAAGAAGUAUCUCGGUAUGUAAACUUCUAUCAGCAGGGAAGAAAAUGACGGUACCUGACUAAGAAGCCCCGGCUAACUACGUGCCGGCAGCCGCGGUAAUCUGAGCGGGCUGGCAAGGC
RNAcentral lists this ribosomal RNA (198 nucleotides) under uncultured bacterium. RNAcentral's name for it is "partial 16S ribosomal RNA". It matches the Rfam family "Bacterial small subunit ribosomal RNA", at positions 328 to 539 of the family's 1533-position model. The record is from RNAcentral.